CCGAGUUUACAACUCCCAAACCCCUGUGAACAUACCACUUGUUGCCUCGGCGGAUCAGCCCGCUCCCGGUAAAACGGGACGGCCCGCCAGAGGACCCCUAAACUCUGUUUCUAUAUGUAACGUCUGAGUAAAACCAUAAAUAAAUCA
This 147-nucleotide unclassified non-coding RNA is filed under the name soil metagenome. Its description in RNAcentral is "partial internal transcribed spacer 1". The record is from RNAcentral.